This 497-nucleotide ribosomal RNA is filed under the name uncultured bacterium. Its description in RNAcentral is "partial 16S ribosomal RNA". It matches the Rfam family "Bacterial small subunit ribosomal RNA", at positions 28 to 507 of the family's 1533-position model. The record is from RNAcentral.
GAUGAACGCUGGCGGCGUGCCUAAUACAUGCAAGUCGAGCGAACGGACGAGAAGCUUGCUUCUCUGAUGUUAGCGGCGGACGGGUGAGUAACACGUGGAUAACCUACCUAUAAGACUGGGAUAACUUCGGGAAACCGUAGCUAAUACCGGAUAAUAUUUUGAACCGCAUGGUUCAAAAGUGAAAGACGGUCUUGCUGUCACUUAUGGAUGGAUCCGCGCUGCAUUAGCUAGUUGGUAAGGUAACGGCUUACCAAGGCAACGAUGCAUAGCCGACCUGAGAGGGUGAUCGGCCACACUGGAACUGAGACACGGUCCAGACCCCUACGGGAGGCAGCAGUAGGGAAUCUUGCGCAAUGGGCGAAAGCCUGACGGAGCAACGCCGCGUGAGUGAUGAAGGUCUUCGGAUCGUAAAACUCUGUUAUUAGGGAAGAACAUAUGUGUAAGUAACUGUGCACAUCUUGACGGUACCUAAUCAGAAAGCCACGGCUAACUACGUG